This is a long non-coding RNA of Papaver somniferum (opium poppy), 825 nucleotides long. RefSeq lists it as uncharacterized. The record is from RefSeq and is a predicted model, not a curated record. The transcript is spliced from 2 exons. NCBI's taxonomy places the organism in Eukaryota, Viridiplantae, Streptophyta, Magnoliopsida, Ranunculales, Papaveraceae.
UUUCAAAACAAGUCUUCCUUCUUCUCUUACCUUGUUAUUUCACCACUUCUCUUCCUCUCAUUUUACUUAUUUUCAAGAUAAACGUCAAACAAAAGAAGGGUUAUUGGUUUCUAAGUGCAAAUUCUAGAACAACCCACACUCCAAAUUUCGCUGAAUUUGUGUUCUUCAAAGAGUACGAGAGGAGCUUGCAGCAGUAAGCCGGGCAAGGUUUAUAGCAGGCUUAUAGCGCUUCGAAUGUUAGUACUUUGUAUAAGCUUAUGAUAAGUAUAUCACGGGGAAAUCUGGGGUAGUUUGCUUGCUUUGAUCCCAUGCCAUCUUGUUACAUUUUGCUGUUAUAUAUAUGCUGGGUUCUUGUACAGAACUUUAUAUGGUUUCAACUGAGAACUUGCUGGUUUCGUAUUCAACGGGUCUGGUCUUGGGUGUUUGCAGCAGUGCUUUUGAAUCCCUUUUGCUAUCAGAUAUCUAUGUAUUGUAGGCGUACUCAUAGGUGUCAUUAAGUGCCUGUUUGGUUUUUAAAACUUUUGCAGUAACUGGAAUGGUUUCUAUCACUCCUUUCAUUUAUUUUCUUCUUGACAGCCUUAUAUACUUCAAAUGUUUACACUUUAAACCCCUACUCACAGUCAGUAUCAUGAACUAUUAGUUGUACUUGAAGCUUUAUGUACUUAUCCCUUGAUGGAAAUCCAAUUUUGAAAAUGUGUCAGUUUGUAAGAAAAGGGUCCAUGGGAUCUCAUUUGAAUUGUCUCAUUUCAUUUGAUUUAUGUAUUUUUUUUAUUUUUUUUGAUUCUGUAAUUGGGAAUGAAGAAAUGUGAAUUUAAUUCUUGUUAA